RNAcentral lists this long non-coding RNA (262 nucleotides) under Fukomys damarensis (Damara mole-rat). Its description in RNAcentral is "lncRNA (ENSFDAG00000022938.1)". The record is from RNAcentral. Lineage: Eukaryota; Metazoa; Chordata; Mammalia; Rodentia; Bathyergidae.
GUCAGAAACUUCCGUGGAGUCUGCGUGGUGUUUCUGCCACCUUGCCCUCCCAGUCCUGGCCCCUGAACUCUUUUCGGCUCACAGAUGGAAACAGCAAUUGGCGCCCAAACAGGGGACUCACGUAUACUGAGUGCCAGUUCCUAAGGUGGGCAGUGCUACAACAGCUGCUGGUGUCAGUGACUCCGAGUGUUCAGCCCCGUUUUGCAGACGGAAAUAUGAAGAAUGGUGGUGAGUUGCUAUUCAGUGACAGAGCCAGAAAUAG